GACGGUAGUCGUAUGCUCGUCUCGAGACUAAGCCAUGCAAGUCCAAGUACACGUCCUUGAACGACGGAAACUGCGAACGGCUCAUUAAAUCAGUUGCGAUCUACUCGGCGUUCCGCGCCGCCGGAUAACCGUAGUAAUUCUAGGGCUAAUACGUGCGAAGCGCCGAAGCCGCGAGGCGACGGGCGUUCUCGCCGGAUGUAGGAACCGACCCGGGGACCGCCGGGGCAACCCCGGCGCCCCCGAGACGGGGCGAACCACGGUGAAAUGACGGAUCGUCGGCCCCGCGCCGGCGACUCGCCGAAUGAGUUUCUGACCUAUCAACUCGAGACGGCGGGGUAGAGGCCCGCCGCGGUAACGACGGGUAACGGGGAAUCAGGGUUCGAUUCCGGAGAGGGAGCCCGAGAAACGGCUACCACUUCCAAGGAAGGCAGCAGGCGCGCAACUUACCCUAAUCUCGAUUC
This 461-nucleotide ribosomal RNA is filed under the name uncultured eukaryote. RNAcentral describes it as "bacterial SSU rRNA". It matches the Rfam family "Eukaryotic small subunit ribosomal RNA", at positions 16 to 457 of the family's 1831-position model. The record is from RNAcentral.